This 985-nucleotide long non-coding RNA is filed under the name Capra hircus (goat). Its description in RNAcentral is "lncRNA (ENSCHIG00000002075.1)". Lineage: Eukaryota; Metazoa; Chordata; Mammalia; Artiodactyla; Bovidae. The record is from RNAcentral.
GAAGGAAGGAAGAAAGAGAGAGAAGAAGAAUGGAGUGAUCUCACAAGUGGAUGAGUGAAGAUCAGGAAUGCGGAAGGAUACUGAGCAGGCACCGUGUAUCUCUUGGGCUGGAGAAGUUAUUUUCUGCUCUUUAACAAUAACUUCAAAGAACAAUUUCAGAUUUGAGAUUUUGGAAGACAGAAACUUGGUCUUAAAAUGUAUUGACUUUUUCUUUUUCCCUCCAAGAUCUCCAUUGUAUCUUCUUUAAGCUUUCAGAUGUAAUACUGUGAGUGCUUUUUUAGAAUUAUCAUUGAGGACUCUGGGAGGAUGUCAAAGGUUACACCCAGCUGUUUGGUGGCUUAGUCAGGGGGUUCUUUGAGAAGAUCAAACACCUGAGUUGAAGAAUCUUUGAGGCAGAAGAUAGAUGGGCCCCAGGCUGAGCAUCUGGAGUUUAUCCCCUGUGGACUGAUACUCCAAGAUGAAGGCAGGAGAAGCUGAACCCUUCUCAGGAAAUCAUUAUGAUUUAUAUAAUUUUAUAUACCAAGAUGUUAAUUAAGUAAAAAUGGUGGUUGAAAUUGAGCUUGGAAGAAAUGGAAGUAUUGAAAGAAAUAAAAUUGGCAGAUUCAACAGAGUGUCACGGAAAAUUUAAUUGGAAGCUAUGAUCAUGAACGCAUGACUUGGAUAACUGAAUUUUCCUCCAAAAUUGUAACUCUAGAAUGAAUACAAUGCAAUCAUUUUACAGAUUGGAAACUGAGGCCCAGAAAUCUUGUGAGUUUUCACACAAAAGUUGCAUUUUUAUCUUUCUUGGAAUAAUAAAGCAUAGUAUGUCAAAACUUAGGACCAGAGCGGUCCUAAGAUGGCGGAGGAAUAGGAUGGGGAGACCACUUUCUCCCUCAAAAAUUCAUCAAAAGAACAUUUCAACGCUAAGUAAAUUCCACAAAACAACUUCUGAAUGCUGGCAGAGGACAUCAGGCACCCAGCAAAGCAGAUCAUUGGCUUCAAAAAC